Molecule: ribosomal RNA, 759 nt
Filed under: Methanosarcina sp. enrichment culture clone A4-2
Lineage: Archaea; Methanobacteriati; Methanobacteriota; Methanomicrobia; Methanosarcinales; Methanosarcinaceae
Description: bacterial SSU rRNA
Rfam family: Archaeal small subunit ribosomal RNA
Source: RNAcentral
GGAUAACCUGCCCUUGGGUCCGGCAUAACCCCGGGAAACUGGGGAUAAUACCGGAUAACGCACAUAUGCUGGAAUGCUUUAUGCGUAAAAUGGAUUCGUCUGCCCAAGGAUGGGUCUGCGGCCUAUCAGGUAGUAGUGGGUGUAAUGUACCUACUAGCCGACAACGGGUACGGGUUGUGAGAGCAAGAGCCCGGAGAUGGAUUCUGAGACAUGAAUCCAGGCCCUACGGGGCGCAGCAGGCGCGAAAACUUUACAAUGCGGGAAACCGUGAUAAGGGGACACCGAGUGCCAGCAUCAUAUGCUGGCUGUCCAGGUGUGUAAAAUACACUCGUUAGCAAGGGCCGGGCAAGACCGGUGCCAGCCGCCGCGGUAACACCGGCGGCCCGAGUGGUGAUCGUGAUUAUUGGGUCUAAAGGGUCCGUAGCCGGUUUGGUCAGUCCUCCGGGAAAUCUGAUAGCUCAACUAUUAGGCUUUCGGGGGAUACUGCCAGACUUGGAACCGGGAGAGGUAAGAGGUACUACAGGGGUAGGAGUGAAAUCUUGUAAUCCCUGUGGGACCACCUGUGGCGAAGGCGUCUUACCAGAACGGGUUCGACGGUGAGGGACGAAAGCUGGGGGCACGAACCGGAUUAGAUACCCGGGUAGUCCCAGCCGUAAACGAUGCGCGUUAGGUGUACUGGUGACCACGAGUCACUGGGGUGCCGAAGGGAAACCGUGAAACGUGCCGCCUGGGAAGUACGGUCGCAAGGCUGAAACUUAA